UGGGGAAUAUUGCACAAUGGGCGCAAGCCUGAUGCAGCCAUGCCGCGUGUGUGAAGAAGGCCUUCGGGUUGUAAAGCACUUUCAGCGAGGAGGAAGGGUAGUGUGUUAAUAGCACAUUGCAUUGACGUUACUCGCAGAAGAAGCACCGGCUAACUCCGUGCCAGCAGCCGCGGUAAUACGGAGGGUGCAAGCGUUAAUCGGAAUUACUGGGCGUAAAGCGCACGCAGGCGGUUUGUUAAGUCAGAUGUGAAAUCCCCGCGCUUAACGUGGGAACUGCAUUUGAAACUGGCAAGCUAGAGUCUUGUAGAGGGGGGUAGAAUUCCAGGUGUAGCGGUGAAAUGCGUAGAGAUCUGGAGGAAUACCGGUGGCGAAGGCGGCCCCCUGGACAAAAGACUGACGCUCAGGUGCGAA
This 411-nucleotide ribosomal RNA is filed under the name uncultured bacterium. RNAcentral's name for it is "partial 16S ribosomal RNA". It matches the Rfam family "Bacterial small subunit ribosomal RNA", at positions 355 to 757 of the family's 1533-position model. The record is from RNAcentral.